Molecule: long non-coding RNA, 618 nt
Filed under: Homo sapiens (human)
Lineage: Eukaryota; Metazoa; Chordata; Mammalia; Primates; Hominidae
Description: HSALNT0318780
Source: RNAcentral
GCUUAUACAAAAUAGUUUCCUGCAAACUCAAGUGGCUGGGAAGCCCAGCUGAAGGUUACUUCUACCCCAAGGCCAUGUCAGCAGAAAGUGGCCAACAGGACUUGGGCCUGAAAAAGCUCAGACUGAAUUUUAGGAGUGACAUCUGAAACUGCUGGUUUCUCACAAGGAAUAAAAGCUGUCUGGGAAGCUGGAGAGGCAGUGUGCUGUCUGGAGCAGGGACUUGCAAAUGGGAACAGUGAAGAGAGACAGCAUCUCCUUCCUCUGAAGAUUCUGUUCAGAAUGGAUAAAGGUUCAGCAUCCUCCCUGGAUGGGGCAGCUUAGCAGAUACAGGGUCUCGCCAUGAGCCACAGCACCUGGCCACUUCUCAUUUUUAAUACUGUAGACCCAGAGGAAAGCACUGGGAGGAAUGAGAAAGUAGCGACUAGACAAAAAUGAAAACUCUUUAAGAAGCAUUGCUGAAGUUACAGGGGAAAAAGAUUAAGACAACUGAGGUUAAGGGCCUGACUCCAGAUCACACAGCAAGGGAGAUGGCAAAAUCAAGAUUUCAACCCAGGAAACCUGCCUCCCAUGCCUAUGUUAAUCACUACACCCUUCCCACAAUAAAUAAUCAAAUAAGCU